AAUCAACGCUGGCGGCGUGCCUCAGACAUGCAAGUCGAACGAUUAAAGCUCUCUUCGGAGAGUGCAUAGAGUGGCGCACGGGUGAGUAACACGUAAGUAAUCCACCUUCGAGUGGGGAAUAACGUCCGGAAACGGGCGCUAAUACCGCAUAAUGCAGCGGCAUCGCAAGAUGACAGUUGUUAAAGGAGCAAUCCGCUUGAAGAGGAGCUUGCGGCAGAUUAGCUAGUUGGUAGGGUAAUGGCCUACCAAGGCUACGAUCUGUAACCGGUCUUAGAGGACGGUCGGUCACACUGACACUGAAUAACGGGUCAGACUCCUACGGGAGGCAGCAGUCGGGAAUUUUGGGCAAUGGGGGAAACCCUGACCCAGCAACGCCGCGUGAAGGAUGAAGUAUUUCGGUAUGUAAACUUCGAAAGAAUAGGAAGAAUUAAUGACGGUACUAUUUAUAAGGUCCGGCUAACUACGUG
Molecule: ribosomal RNA, 467 nt
Filed under: uncultured bacterium
Lineage: Bacteria
Description: bacterial SSU rRNA
Rfam family: Bacterial small subunit ribosomal RNA
Source: RNAcentral